This 685-nucleotide ribosomal RNA is filed under the name uncultured bacterium. RNAcentral describes it as "bacterial SSU rRNA". It matches the Rfam family "Bacterial small subunit ribosomal RNA", at positions 97 to 796 of the family's 1533-position model. The record is from RNAcentral.
GGCGAACGGGUGAGUAACACGUGGGUAACCUGCCCUGUACUCUGGGAUAAGCCUGGGAAACUAGGUCUAAUACCGGAUAUGACCUGCCUCUGCAUGGGGGUGGGUGGAAAGUUCCGGCGGUAUGGGAUGGACCCGCGGCCUAUCAGCUUGUUGGUGGGGUAAUGGCCUACCAAGGCGACGACGGGUAGCCGGCCUGAGAGGGUGACCGGCCACACUGGGACUGAGACACGGCCCAGACUCCUACGGGAGGCAGCAGUGGGGAAUAUUGCACAAUGGGCGAAAGCCUGAUGCAGCGACGCCGCGUGAGGGAUGACGGCCUUCGGGUUGUAAACCUCUUUCAGCAGGGACGAAGCGUGAGUGACGGUACCUGCAGAAGAAGCACCGGCUAACUACGUGCCAGCAGCCGCGGUAAUACGUAGGGUGCGAGCGUUGUCCGGAAUUAUUGGGCGUAAAGAGCUCGUAGGCGGUUUGUUGCGUCGGCUGUGAAAACUUCACGCUUAACGUGGAGCCUGCAGUCGAUACGGGCAGACUUGAGUUCGGCAGGGGAGACUGGAAUUCCUGGUGUAGCGGUGAAAUGCGCAGAUAUCAGGAGGAACACCGGUGGCGAAGGCGGGUCUCUGGGCCGAUACUGACGCUGAGGAGCGAAAGCGUGGGGAGCGAACAGGAUUAGAUACCCUGGUAGUCC